This 132-nucleotide small RNA is filed under the name Klebsiella pneumoniae. RNAcentral describes it as "RtT sRNA". It matches the Rfam family "RtT RNA". From Rfam's summary of the family: This family represents a bacterial cis-regulatory element known as RtT RNA. The exact function of RtT is unknown although it is thought that it may be involved in changing the cellular response in relation to amino acid starvation. The record is from RNAcentral. Lineage: Bacteria; Pseudomonadati; Pseudomonadota; Gammaproteobacteria; Enterobacterales; Enterobacteriaceae.
UAUUCUGCCCCAAGGGGAAGGAUGAGAAGCUUCGACUAAGGUUCGACUCGAGCGAAGCGAGAGAACGUUGCCGCAGGCAACGGCCCGAAGGGCGAGGCGCUUUAGCGCCGAGUAAUCCUUCCCCCACCACCA